AUUGAACGCUGGCGGCGUGCUUAACACAUGCAAGUCGAGCGGUAACAGGCGUAGCAACACGUGCUGACGAGCGGCGAACGGGUGCGUAAUACAUCGGAAUCUGCCUAGUAGUGGGGAAUAACCCGGCGAAAGCCGGGCUAAUGCCGCAUACGAUCCACGGAUGAAAGCGGGGGACUUUCGGGCCUCGCGCUAUUAGAUGAGCCGAUGUCGGAUUAGCAGUUGGUGAGUAACGGCUCACCAAGGCGACGAUCCGUAGCUGGUCUGAGAGGACGGCCAGCCACACUGGGACUGAGAC
This 295-nucleotide ribosomal RNA is filed under the name uncultured bacterium. RNAcentral's name for it is "partial 16S ribosomal RNA". It matches the Rfam family "Bacterial small subunit ribosomal RNA", at positions 30 to 325 of the family's 1533-position model. The record is from RNAcentral.